This 1260-nucleotide long non-coding RNA is filed under the name Phascolarctos cinereus (koala). RNAcentral's name for it is "lncRNA (ENSPCIG00000006490.2)". Lineage: Eukaryota; Metazoa; Chordata; Mammalia; Diprotodontia; Phascolarctidae. The record is from RNAcentral.
GGCAAUGAAUGCCUAAGGAAACAGACAUUAACAGAAGAAAGAUGAUGAUUGUUUAUUUUGUAUCAGUUAUUUAUAAACAUUUCAUUCUUGGGGAAGAGAGUAAGCCCACGGAGGUUUUGUUUUGCUUUUUACUGCUGUCCCUAUUCAAAUGACUUUUAAAAUUUCAAAAAGGAUUCAUAUCUCUGGGACUUAUACAGCAAUUAUUAUUUCUUAAGGAGUUGGACAUUUUGAUGGGGAUAAAUAUCAUUGUUUAUUAUUGUCUAAGAGAAAUGCUAGAUAUUCCCAUUUCUAGACUAAUCACUGGUGAAUUGUUUCUUUGAUUGACAAGCCUCCAGGUUGAACCUUGGAUAAUAAAUUGGAUAUGUCUAAAGCUAGUUUGAGAAUCCAGAUAAUGUUUUUUUUAAUAGAAUGAUCAUAGCACUUUCUUCUUCAUGCCUUUUUAUAAGUUCUAAAAAUAGAUCAUGAUAUGUGGCAUUCUAGGAUUGAAUUCUAUAACAAUCUCUUGUACUCGGUGGAGAGAGUGAACAACUUCAUAUUCUUCAGGCUCCUUUGUAUCCCUAGAGAUUAACACCAUAUGGUGUAUGUGGCUCCCAACAUAUGUGCUAGCAGAACAAUGGUAGCCAAUGGUGUUAACAAUGACCCUGACUUCUGAGUCAUCAAAUACAGAGUACAUUCUGUUCAGUACCAGCUUCUAAUCCUUUCUACUUGCUGCUUGAAUUGCAUCCCUCCACCUACUCCAGGAUACUGAAUAAAGAUGUAUGCUUCACUUCUGGCUGCCCUUAUCUGCUUAUGAGACAGUUUCUUCUAAUGUCCCAACAGAAGAAGGAAGCAGCUUUUUGUCAGCCAGCGAAACACCCUUACCACUGCCUCUUGGAAUCCAUGAUGACUUUCAAGUCUCUUAUAGCUGUGACACUAACUAGUCAUGCAGGAGGACACCACCGAUGAGCUUUAGAUAGUAACAAGAUGGAAGGAGGGGUUGCUGCUAGCCCUGCAUUCCAGACUUCCAUCCAAUCAUAAUGUUUCCAUCAUCUAUGAUUCUUCAGACUUUGUAACCAAUCAUAUUGUUUUGUGCUUUCUCUCUUUUGUUCUCUUGUACUUUCCAAAACUAUAUAAAGCCUAGUAAGCCCUGCCUCAUGAUCUCUUGGCUGGCCAAAGAGCCAAGAGAACCAUUUUGUUGGUAAUUGCUAGCCUUAGUGAUAAAUUGAAUGAGCCCAGGCCUUCUCCCAGCUGUUAGUGCUUUCUCCUCCAAAGUUACCUGGC